This 468-nucleotide ribosomal RNA is filed under the name uncultured bacterium. RNAcentral describes it as "partial 16S ribosomal RNA". It matches the Rfam family "Bacterial small subunit ribosomal RNA", at positions 28 to 507 of the family's 1533-position model. The record is from RNAcentral.
GACGAACGCUGGCGGCGUGCUUAACACAUGCAAGUCGAACGGAAAGGCCCUGCUUUUGUGGGGUGCUCGAGUGGCGAACGGGUGAGUAACACGUGAGUAACCUGCCCUUGACUUUGGGAUAACUUCAGGAAACUGGGGCUAAUAACGGAUAGGAGCUCCUGCUGCAUGGUGGGGGUUGGAAAGUUUCGGCGGUUGGGGAUGGACUCGCGGCUUAUCAGCUUGUUGGUGGGGUAGUGGCUUACCAAGGCUUUGACGGUUAGCCGGCCUGAGAGGGUGACCGGCCACAUUGGGACUGAGAUACGGCCCAGACUCCUACGGGAGGCAGCAGUGGGGAAUAUUGCACAAUGGGCGGAAGCCUGAUGCAGCAACGCCGCGUGCGGGAUGACGGCCUUCGGGUUGUAAACCGCUUUCGCCUGUGACGAAGCGUGAGUGACGGUAAUGGGUAAAGAAGCACCGGCUAACUACGUG